This 440-nucleotide ribosomal RNA is filed under the name uncultured bacterium. RNAcentral describes it as "partial 16S ribosomal RNA". It matches the Rfam family "Bacterial small subunit ribosomal RNA", at positions 338 to 795 of the family's 1533-position model. The record is from RNAcentral.
CCUACGGGAGACAGCAGUAGGGAAUUUUGCGCAAUGGGGGAAAGCCUGACGCAGCAACACCGCGUGAAGGUUAAGCCCUUCGGGGUGUAAAGUUCUGUCAAUAGGGGAGAAUUUUGACUGUAUCUCUAAAGAAAACACCGGCUAACUCCGUGCCAGCAGCCGCGGGAAUACGGGGGGUUCAAGCGUUGUCCGGAAUCAUUGGGCGUAAAGCGUUCGUAGGCGGUAUGUGAAGUCAGAUGUUAAAGUCCGGGGCUCAACCCCGGAUCGGCAUUGGAAACUGUCAAACUAGAAUGUGGGAGAGGUAAGGGGAAUUCCUGGUGUAGCGGUGAAAUGCGUAGAUAUCAGGAGGAACACCGGUGGCGAAAGCGGUUUACUGGACCACUAUUGACGCUGAGGAACGAAAGCGAGGGGAGCAAAUGGGAUUAGAUACCCCAGUAGUC